GGCGGUUGUCUGUUAUUCAGAUAUAUGAGGCUUGGAUGGUUAUUUGGGUAAUGGAGGAUUACGAUAAGGAAGAAUGGCGAAUGGUGGACAAAGUUAGCCUUAGAUGCAUUAGAGGGAUGGUACCGGGCAUUUUCCCAAUAAGUCAAAAUGACAACUUUGUUUACCUAGCUACACAUAAGCAGGUUUUAGUUUAUCAGAGAAACAACCGUGUGUGGAAGGAAAUGUUCUCGGUAAAGGACAGCUCAACCUUGCCUUUAUGGUUCUCAGCACAUGCCUUUAGAGGCACUCUCUUUUCAUGCCAUUGAUCCGAUGGUCGUGUACAUCUUUCUAUUCAAAUUGUGUACAUAAUGCUAUCGUUAGUCUUAAUUCCUAUCUCAUAUAUUGGGCAUCAUCUUUAUCGUUUGUCAUUUUGUGCAUACUGUGUGGAACCUCAAAGAUGGUUUCGGCUAGGAUAUUGUCAGUUAUAUGUUCACUUAUCGGGGAGAAUGACAAAUGGUUGACAAAGUAAGUCUUCAAUGCAUUAGAGGGAUGGCACCGGGCAACUUCCAGAUAAGUCAAAAUCACAGCUUUGUUUACCUUGUACAUAAGCAGGUUUUAGUAUCAAAUAAACUACCGAGUAUGGAAGGUGAUGUACUCUGUGAAGGACAGCUCAACCGUGUGUUUAUGGUUCAUAUCACACGCCUUAACAAGC
This 691-nucleotide unclassified non-coding RNA is filed under the name Hevea brasiliensis (rubber tree). Lineage: Eukaryota; Viridiplantae; Streptophyta; Magnoliopsida; Malpighiales; Euphorbiaceae. The record is from RNAcentral.